AACGAACGCUGGCGGCAUGCCUAACACAUGCAAGUCGAACGAGACCUUCGGGUCUAGUGGCGCACGGGUGCGUAACGCGUGGGAACCUGCCCUUAGGUUCGGAAUAACUCCCCGAGAGGGGUGCUAAUACCGGAUAAUGUCUUCGGACCAAAGAUUUAUCGCCUUUGGAUGGGCCCGCGUUGGAUUAGCUAGUUGGUAGGGUAAAAGCCUACCAAGGCGACGAUCCAUAGCUGGUCGGAGAGGAUGAUCAGCCACACUGGGAAUGAGACACGGCCCAGACUCCGACGGGAGAGAGCAGUGGGGAAUAUUGGACGAGGGGCGAAAGUCUGACACAGCAAUGCCGCGUGAGUGAGGAAGGCCUUAGGGUUGUAAAGCUCUUUUACCCGGGAUGAUAAUGACAGUACCGGGAGAAUAAGCUCCGGCUAACUACGUG
This 433-nucleotide ribosomal RNA is filed under the name uncultured bacterium. RNAcentral's name for it is "partial 16S ribosomal RNA". It matches the Rfam family "Bacterial small subunit ribosomal RNA", at positions 29 to 507 of the family's 1533-position model. The record is from RNAcentral.